CCUACGGGAGGCAGCAGUGGGGAAUAUUGGGCAAUGGGCGCAAGCCUGACCCAGCAACGCCGCGUGAAGGAAGAAGGCUUUCGGGUUGUAAACUUCUUUUCUGAGGGGCGAAGAAAGUUACGGUACCUCAGGAAUAAGCCACGGCUAACUACGAGCCAGCAGCCGCGGAAAUACGUAGGAGGCAAGCGUUAUCCGGAUUGAUGGGGUUUAAAGGGCGUGUAGGCGGGAAGGCAAGUCAGAUGUAAAAAUCAGGGGCUCAACCCUGAGCCGGCAUUGAAACUGUUUUUCUUGAGUGCUGGAGAGGCAAUCGGAAUUCCGUGUGUAGCGGUGAAAUGCAUAGAUAUACGGAGGAACACCAGUGGCGAAGGCAGAUUACUGGACAGUAACUGACGCUGAGGCACGAAAGCGUGGGUAGCAAACAGGAUUAGAUACCCUUGUAGUC
RNAcentral lists this ribosomal RNA (442 nucleotides) under uncultured bacterium. RNAcentral's name for it is "partial 16S ribosomal RNA". It matches the Rfam family "Bacterial small subunit ribosomal RNA", at positions 338 to 795 of the family's 1533-position model. The record is from RNAcentral.